RNAcentral lists this non-coding RNA (25 nucleotides) under Rattus norvegicus (Norway rat). The record is from RNAcentral. Lineage: Eukaryota; Metazoa; Chordata; Mammalia; Rodentia; Muridae.
UCAAAACUUGGAGAAUGGUGGCUUA